This 253-nucleotide ribosomal RNA is filed under the name uncultured bacterium. RNAcentral's name for it is "partial 16S ribosomal RNA". It matches the Rfam family "Bacterial small subunit ribosomal RNA", at positions 524 to 776 of the family's 1533-position model. The record is from RNAcentral.
UACGUACCGGACGAACGUUAUUCGGAAUUACUGGGCUUAAAGAGUUCGUAGGCGGCUUGGAAGGUGGGGCGUGAAAUCCCUCGGCUUAACCGAGGAAGUGCGCUUCAAACCACCAGGCUUGAGGGAGACAGGGGUGAGCGGAACUGAUGGUGGAGCGGUGAAAUGCGUUGAUAUCAUCAGGAACACCGGUGGCGAAGGCGGCUCACUGGGUCUCUUCUGACGCUGAGGAACGAAAGCUAGGGGAGCGAACGGG